Molecule: transfer RNA, 72 nt
Filed under: Camelus bactrianus (Bactrian camel)
Lineage: Eukaryota; Metazoa; Chordata; Mammalia; Artiodactyla; Camelidae
Also listed under: 2 other names
Rfam family: tRNA
About the family: Transfer RNA (tRNA) molecules are approximately 80 nucleotides in length. Their secondary structure includes four short double-helical elements and three loops (D, anti-codon, and T loops).
Source: Rfam by way of RNAcentral
AAGGGUAUAGCUCAGUGGUAGAGCAUGUGCUUAGCAUGCACGAGAUCCUGGGUUCAAUCCCUAGUACCUCCA